Cuculus canorus (common cuckoo) is the source of this 901-nucleotide long non-coding RNA. RefSeq lists it as uncharacterized. The record is from RefSeq and is a predicted model, not a curated record. NCBI's taxonomy places the organism in Eukaryota, Metazoa, Chordata, Aves, Cuculiformes, Cuculidae. The transcript is spliced from 2 exons.
UCUUUCUUAUUCUUCUCUCUUUUUAUCGCCUUCCCCCCCACCCCACCCCCCAGUCCUCUUAUCUCAGUUGUGUACAAACUGAUAUGGUACUUAGCAGGAAAGUGACUGGAAAUUAAAAUAACUUCGUUCACCAGAGGUUAUCAGCUGGAUAUCUGUCAUCAUCAGUUUGUACAGAGAGAGUCAUCUGCGGCAAAGGGCUGGACUAGAGCAGAGCCCGGCUCUCGGCAGCCGGCAGGCAUGAGCCUUCCCGACAGAAAUCGAGCCCAAACCUACUGAUGCGCGGUGCUGUCGCUCCUGGGGAAGAAGAAAAUCACGUGCAGGCAGUAUGCAAGGCUACAAGAGUUAAUGUGAACAUCUCAAACGUUGCUGCUGCAUAGUAGUGGAUGGGACAGACAUGGUUAAAUCGUGAUAAGCAAGAUAUGUCUGAGGGAGAGAGCACUGAAGAGCCAGAGUAGUCUUGUUUUGUAGCCCUCCCACUCUGAGACGUCGAUCAUGAAAAGGCCUUUGCCUCAUUAUUAGCCCAAUGCAUAGAACAGGUGAAACCCACCCAUAUGCAAACGAAGACCAUUCAGUACAUGUUAGUUGCAACAUUCUAUGAAAAGGUAUAUCCCUCUCCUAUAAUUCCAUAUAAAGGCAAAUCCCUGAAUCCGUGUGUGUGUGUGUGUGCGUAACUCACAAGCUUAAAACACGCCACCCCAAGGAGUCAAUUCUGUGCCCAGCACCUUGAGAUCCUACGCAAUGCUGGAACCUGGGGUGAUGAUAUCUUAUUCUUUUCUCUCUCUCCCUUUCUGUUCCGCUUUCUUACUCUUUUCUGUGCUACAAUCAUAGAUUUAAUAUGCCAAUGCCUAUCUUAUUCCUAAGACCUUGCCUGUAUAAAUAAAUUUCUUUUAUUUAAAGUCAA